RNAcentral lists this long non-coding RNA (2046 nucleotides) under Podarcis lilfordi (Lilford's wall lizard). The record is from RNAcentral. Lineage: Eukaryota; Metazoa; Chordata; Lepidosauria; Squamata; Lacertidae.
ACCAGGAAGUAAGAAGUGUUGGAAACUUCAGCAGGUAUAUUUGGAGUACAACGACCCAGCAUAGCAUGAACUUCCUACAUCAAUAAAAUGAAAGUGCCAAUGAACUUUGGAUGAAACCAUUCCCAACCAGAGAGGGGAGUUUCUAUUCCAAACCAAGCAUGCCUCUUAAAGACACAGGCCAUGCUCACUACAGUUGAGUCUGGAGCUUCCUUCUCUUCCUGGCUCACAGAGCAAGACUUAAACACUGAGUCCGCAGGGGAUGUGUUUUCUCCCCCCCCCCCACCUCCACAAUUCAUAGAUGGGGAGGAGUUUCAAUCUUGCUGGGAAGGGCACUUGUGAAGGAGCAUUUUGCAGCCCUCCAGACCAAAUCUGCUGCUCACCAGCUGUUUUUCAAAGACUCAGCUCUGCUCAGAUCUGCUUCCCCAGCGCAUUCCCUACAGAGGCUUAGGGGUUGGUGAAACAGGCCCCUGCUAGUGGUGCAAAAAUCAUGUAGCAGACUAUGGAGUGGAUGACAUAUACCGUAUUUUUCCAUGUAUUAGACAAAGUUUUUGUCCUCAAAACUAACGUUUAAAAAUGGGGGAGGUCCAUGUUGCUUCCGCUAGGCUAAGGUGGUCAGCUGUAUUAUUGGUGGCUGCAACAAGUGCUGGUGUGGAUUUGCUGUCAAUACGACUUCUGGCAGUGAGGCAACAGCUGAUAGGGAAAAGCUCCACAACUCUGGGCAAUCUCCCCCCAUUUUCUUAAGUUUGAGUCCCCCCAAAUAGGGGGUGUCUUAUACAUGGGGCCAUGUUAUACACGGAAUGUGUCUGGUGACAUGAAGCCACUGUUUCUGUCAGUUCAUAUGUGAAAGAAGCUUACCGUCCUCACACUGCAGGAUAAAGGCAAAUUUUUUUGGGGGGGUGCACGAUAAAGCUCCUUUCCAAGGGCACAAGGGACCCCAGUGUGUAGUGAAAUAAAUAAAUAUUUAUUUAUUUAUUUAUUUAUUUAUUUAUUUAUUUAUUUAUUUAAUAUUUAUUAAGGUUUCAAAAAAAAGGUAGUGAAAUAAAUAUUUAAUUGCCUCCCCAAGGGGUCCCUGCCUCAGAAGGAGGACCAGGACCUCGGAAGGAGCACAAUUGAAGGCUCUGUACCAGCUGGGAAAAGACGACCACACCAGGAUUUGGAAAAAGCAAAGCCUGAUCUUUAUUAAAAGAACAGGGGGGAAAAACACACACACAAAAAACUGUUGUAACAGGGUCCCCGCUCAUGCAAUGACAAGGAGUCAGAGAGCCCAAACAAAAGGACUACCUUGAUUCUUAUACCUUUUGAUUUUCAUCCAGAUCAAUAGCAGAGGAGGUGGCGGGAAGCGACAUGAGAGGUGCGAAGAGUGGAUUAACAUAAGGUAAAUAGGAUGUUGAAAGACUUACGGGAGGUGUCAAUUUGCUGAAGGCUCAGGUGAUAUGUGUCGAUCUUCGUGUUAUUUAAUUUUUGGAUCUGCUUAAAUGGCUUUUCCUUUACAGGAUAAUCAGUAUGCAGAUCGUGAGGCUGGAUGUUCAGGAAGAUGUUCAGGAAAUGGCUUAAAUGUUAAUGUGAAAUCCUAUUCUGCAUUGCUAUCAAUUCGAGUGUGAUAGCCUGAUGUUUGCAUACUUUUUUGAAAAUAAAACUACAGUGGUACCUCGCAAGACGAAUGCCUCGCAAGACAAAAAACUCGCUAGACGAAAGGGUUUUUUGUUUUGUGAGCUGCUUCGCAAGACGGAAACAUCUUGCAAGUUUGUUUCCUUUUUCUUAACACCGCUAAUACAGUUGCGACUUGACUUCGAGGAGCAACUCAUAGAACGCGAUGUGGUAGCCUUUUUUGAGGUUUUUAAAGACUUUGGUGAUUUUUGAAGCUUUUCCAAAACUUUCCCGACACCGUGCUUCGCAAGACGAAAAAAAUUGCAAGACGACAAAACUCGUGGAACGAAUUAAUUUCGUCUUGCGAGGCACCACUGUACUUUAUUUUGAGCUCUUAUCUGUGUGUAUUCAUGGUAUCGUUUGUAGACCCAGUAGGUGGCAGUGUGGUGGAGAGUCUUG